UACGUAGGGUGCAAGCGUUAAUCGGAAUUACUGGGCGUAAAGCGUGCGCAGGCGGUUCUAUAAGACAGAUGUGAAAUCCCCGGGCUCAACCUGGGAACUGCAUUUGUGACUGUAGAGCUGGAGUACGGGCAGAGGGGGGAUGGAAUUCCGCGUGUAGCAGUGAAAUGCGUAGAUAUGCGGAGGAACACCGAUGGCGAAGGCGGGUCUCUGGGGCCGAUACUGACGCUGAGGAGCGAAAAGCGUGGGGGAGCAAACAAGG
This 259-nucleotide ribosomal RNA is filed under the name uncultured bacterium. Its description in RNAcentral is "partial 16S ribosomal RNA". It matches the Rfam family "Bacterial small subunit ribosomal RNA", at positions 524 to 777 of the family's 1533-position model. The record is from RNAcentral.